Molecule: long non-coding RNA, 1195 nt
Filed under: Helianthus annuus (common sunflower)
Lineage: Eukaryota; Viridiplantae; Streptophyta; Magnoliopsida; Asterales; Asteraceae
Description: hypothetical non coding rna
Source: RNAcentral
UUUAUGAACCCUAGAUCCUAAAUCACCCGAACCCUGUUUGUUUGAUUAACGAGCGAUUUCUUUAGAGAAAACAAGAAUUGCGGGUUUAUUUAGGGUUUCUCAAUCAAAUCAAAUUGCAGACUACAAAACCACACACCAUACAUCGGCUAUUUCAGAUGUCUGAACUUAAAACCCUCUUCGAGUAUUUAGGGUUUUUCAAUCAACUUGAUGUCGUCGAGAAUCACCAGGAAUGCUGUUACUAGAGCUACCUAUAUGAAUAGCAAAUCAAGAUGGAAUGGAACGCUUCUUACUCAAAUUAAGAGGUAAGCCCUCGUGGAGCUAACUGAAGCUGAAACAUAAUAUGCAGUAAAUGAUAUGAAGCAGUUACUGGAUAUAUGCUUCUGAAGCGGAACCAAGUCAUCGAAUGCCCUUCCAUAUGAUACAUCUGGUCAAACCUUAUGGCACUUGAGAAACCAUAAGGGGCCCCACCUAAGCUGUUGGCAGAUUUUCUAACGCCUUGAAGUUUAUCGUCGAAGAGGUCAUAUAGUUGUUAUAGAUGCUUUUGAAGCGGAAGAAUUUGCUGAGGUGGCAACGAAGCCACUGAAAGCCCUUCCAUAUGACACACCUUGUUGAAGUUUAUGGCAUUUGAGUACCCCACAAGGGGUCCCAGCUCAGCUGUUGGCAGAUUUUUUGACGUGUUGAAGUUUAUCGUUUAAGAGUUCUGCAAUGGUCCUUACUGCCCGUGGAGCUAACUGAAGUUGAAACAGAAUAUGCGGUAAAUGUUGUGCUCCAAUACAACAUGCUUUGGGCUAAGAAGAAUUUGCUGAGGGGUCCUCGCUCAACUGUUGGCAUAUUUUUUAAUGUGUCAAGUUUUUUGUCAAAUAGUGAUUGGGCUUCAGAAGACAGCUUGAAGGCAGAUUGGGAUUGAAGACUGUUGGGCUGCUGGACUUAAAGAAUGCUGUUGGGUUAAUGGGUUGAAGGGUUGAAAUGUUCAACCCAAACCCGACCCAUAUUAUUAUUCGGGUCAAAGACUUCAACUCUUACCCGACUCUAACCCGACCCAUAUAGGUCAACCCGAACCUGACCCGUUUAACCCAUAUUUUUAAAUGAGUCAUAUAAGUUGACGAUAUAUAAACGAGUUGUUGGGUUUUAACGAUGAACAUGAGAGUGACAAAUAAAUAAUAUAAUUUAUCAAAAUUAACAUUAUUAUAACUAA